GGGUUGUGAGGUUAAGCGACUAAGCGUACACGGUGGAUGCCCUGGCAGUCAGAGGCGAUGAAGGACGUGCUAAUCUGCGAUAAGCGUCGGUAAGGUGAUAUGAACCGUUAUAACCGGCGAUUUCCGAAUGGGGAAACCCAGUGUGUUUCGACACACUAUCAUUAACUGAAUCCAUAGGUUAAUGAGGCGAACCGGGGGAACUGAAACAUCUAAGUACCCCGAGGAAAAGAAAUCAACCGAGAUUCCCCCAGUAGCGGCGAGCGAACGGGGAGCAGCCCAGAGCCUGAAUCAGUGUGUGUGUUAGUGGAAGCGUCUGGAAAGGCGCGCGAUACAGGGUGACAGCCCCGUACACAAAAAUGCACAUGCUGUGAGCUCGAUGAGUAGGGCGGGACACGUGGUAUCCUGUCUGAAUAUGGGGGGACCAUCCUCCAAGGCUAAAUACUCCUGACUGACCGAUAGUGAACCAGUACCGUGAGGGAAAGGCGAAAAGAACCCCGGCGAGGGGAGUGAAAAAGAACCUGAAACCGUGUACGUACAAGCAGUGGGAGCACGCUUAGGCGUGUGACUGCGUACCUUUUGUAUAAUGGGUCAGCGACUUAUAUUCUGUAGCAAGGUUAACCGAAUAGGGGAGCCGAAGGGAAACCGAGUCUUAACUGGGCGUUAAGUUGCAGGGUAUAGACCCGAAACCCGGUGAUCUAGCCAUGGGCAGGUUGAAGGUUGGGUAACACUAACUGGAGGACCGAACCGACUAAUGUUGAAAAAUUAGCGGAUGACUUGUGGCUGGGGGUGAAAGGCCAAUCAAACCGGGAGAUAGCUGGUUCUCCCCGAAAGCUAUUUAGGUAGCGCCUCGUGAAUUCAUCUCCGGGGGUAGAGCACUGUUUCGGCAAGGGGGUCAUCCCGACUUACCAACCCGAUGCAAACUGCGAAUACCGGAGAAUGUUAUCACGGGAGACACACGGCGGGUGCUAACGUCCGUCGUGAAGAGGGAAACAACCCAGACCGCCAGCUAAGGUCCCAAAGUCAUGGUUAAGUGGGAAACGAUGUGGGAAGGCCCAGACAGCCAGGAUGUUGGCUUAGAAGCAGCCAUCAUUUAAAGAAAGCGUAAUAGCUCACUGGUCGAGUCGGCCUGCGCGGAAGAUGUAACGGGGCUAAACCAUGCACCGAAGCUGCGGCAGCGACACUAUGUGUUGUUGGGUAGGGGAGCGUUCUGUAAGCCUGUGAAGGUGUACUGUGAGGUAUGCUGGAGGUAUCAGAAGUGCGAAUGCUGACAUAAGUAACGAUAAAGCGGGUGAAAAGCCCGCUCGCCGGAAGACCAAGGGUUCCUGUCCAACGUUAAUCGGGGCAGGGUGAGUCGACCCCUAAGGCGAGGCCGAAAGGCGUAGUCGAUGGGAAACAGGUUAAUAUUCCUGUACUUGGUGUUACUGCGAAGGGGGGACGGAGAAGGCUAUGUUGGCCGGGCGACGGUUGUCCCGGUUUAAGCGUGUAGGCUGGUUUUCCAGGCAAAUCCGGAAAAUCAAGGCUGAGGCGUGAUGACGAGGCACUACGGUGCUGAAGCAACAAAUGCCCUGCUUCCAGGAAAAGCCUCUAAGCAUCAGGUAACAUCAAAUCGUACCCCAAACCGACACAGGUGGUCAGGUAGAGAAUACCAAGGCGCUUGAGAGAACUCGGGUGAAGGAACUAGGCAAAAUGGUGCCGUAACUUCGGGAGAAGGCACGCUGAUAUGUAGGUGAAGUCCCUUGCGGAUGGAGCUGAAAUCAGUCGAAGAUACCAGCUGGCUGCAACUGUUUAUUAAAAACACAGCACUGUGCAAACACGAAAGUGGACGUAUACGGUGUGACGCCUGCCCGGUGCCGGAAGGUUAAUUGAUGGGGUUAGCGCAAGCGAAGCUCUUGAUCGAAGCCCCGGUAAACGGCGGCCGUAACUAUAACGGUCCUAAGGUAGCGAAAUUCCUUGUCGGGUAAGUUCCGACCUGCACGAAUGGCGUAAUGAUGGCCAGGCUGUCUCCACCCGAGACUCAGUGAAAUUGAACUCGCUGUGAAGAUGCAGUGUACCCGCGGCAAGACGGAAAGACCCCGUGAACCUUUACUAUAGCUUGACACUGAACAUUGAGCCUUGAUGUGUAGGAUAGGUGGGAGGCUUUGAAGUGUGGACGCCAGUCUGCAUGGAGCCGACCUUGAAAUACCACCCUUUAAUGUUUGAUGUUCUAACGUGGACCCGUAAUCCGGGUUGCGGACAGUGUCUGGUGGGUAGUUUGACUGGGGCGGUCUCCUCCUAAAGAGUAACGGAGGAGCACGAAGGUUGGCUAAUCCUGGUCGGACAUCAGGAGGUUAGUGCAAUGGCAUAAGCCAGCUUGACUGCGAGCGUGACGGCGCGAGCAGGUGCGAAAGCAGGUCAUAGUGAUCCGGUGGUUCUGAAUGGAAGGGCCAUCGCUCAACGGAUAAAAGGUACUCCGGGGAUAACAGGCUGAUACCGCCCAAGAGUUCAUAUCGACGGCGGUGUUUGGCACCUCGAUGUCGGCUCAUCACAUCCUGGGGCUGAAGUAGGUCCCAAGGGUAUGGCUGUUCGCCAUUUAAAGUGGUACGCGAGCUGGGUUUAGAACGUCGUGAGACAGUUCGGUCCCUAUCUGCCGUGGGCGCUGGAGAACUGAGGGGGGCUGCUCCUAGUACGAGAGGACCGGAGUGGACGCAUCACUGGUGUUCGGGUUGUCAUGCCAAUGGCACUGCCCGGUAGCUAAAUGCGGAAGAGAUAAGUGCUGAAAGCAUCUAAGCACGAAACUUGCCCCGAGAUGAGUUCUCCCUGACUCCUUGAGAGUCCUGAAGGAACGUUGAAGACGACGACGUUGAUAGGCCGGGUGUGUAAGCGCAGCGAUGCGUUGAGCUAACCGGUACUAAUGAACCGUGAGGCUUAACCUUACAACGCCGAAGGUGUUU
Molecule: ribosomal RNA, 2930 nt
Filed under: Escherichia coli
Lineage: Bacteria; Pseudomonadati; Pseudomonadota; Gammaproteobacteria; Enterobacterales; Enterobacteriaceae
Description: 23S ribosomal RNA
Rfam family: Bacterial large subunit ribosomal RNA
Source: RNAcentral